GACGAACGCUGGCGGCGUGCUUAACACAUGCAAGUCGAGCGGUAAGGCCCUUUCGGGGGUACACGAGCGGCGAACGGGUGAGUAACACGUGGGUGACCUGCCCUCAGCUCUGGGAUAAGCCUGGGAAACGUGGGUCUAAUACUGGAUAUGACUCCACGGUGCAUGUCGGUGGGGUGGAAAGCCUUGUGCGGCUGAGGAUGGGCCCGCGGCCUAUCAGCUUGUUGGGUGGGGUGANGGCCUACCAAGGCGACGACGGGUAGCCGGCCUGAGAGGGCGACCGGCCACAC
Molecule: ribosomal RNA, 287 nt
Filed under: uncultured bacterium
Lineage: Bacteria
Description: partial 16S ribosomal RNA
Rfam family: Bacterial small subunit ribosomal RNA
Source: RNAcentral